GGAAAGAAGGUCUUCAGUGCCCAGUUAAUGGAAAUUAAUGAAUUGAUCCCAGCUGUAGGAUCAGUUAAUACCUUUUUAGACAUCAGAGAAAGCUGAGAGAAAUUCCUUUUAAAUACUCAAUCAGUUAGGAAUCUUCAGUCAAAGCUUGAAUCUGUAUAGAUGUUAAUGCUAACUAAUACAAGGAACCAAAGAAAAGCAACGUGGUCAUCUGGAGGUAGUGAUCCACAGGUGUCCUCAGCCUGGCAGGACCUGGUUUCUGCAUGUUUGCUGAUCUGGGGCCAUGCUAUCAAACAACUCUUGGGACCAGCAACCUCGGGACAGCUGCAGGGCUGACAGAAUGUCCCCCCCCCACCGUUGCUCUGACAUCGCAAGCCCUGCUGCCACUGAGCACUCAGGGUUAUGGUCCCCUGCUGCCCCAGUGCUGACACCUCAAUGAUGCCUCGUGGGAACGGCUGAGAGCUGGUUCUGCCACCAGCUAAGAAACACAGCUUCCCAGGAUGAGUCAGGAUCAUCUUUAUAAAAUUUAUUCAAAGCUACCCUACAAGUGUUAGCUCCAGUCUGUCAUGAGCAUGCCAUAUCCAAUAAAUAAUGAUAGAGCUUCCCUCCA
Molecule: long non-coding RNA, 607 nt
Filed under: Anas platyrhynchos platyrhynchos (common mallard)
Lineage: Eukaryota; Metazoa; Chordata; Aves; Anseriformes; Anatidae
Description: lncRNA (ENSAPLG00000020732.1)
Source: RNAcentral